Molecule: ribosomal RNA, 408 nt
Filed under: uncultured bacterium
Lineage: Bacteria
Description: partial 16S ribosomal RNA
Rfam family: Bacterial small subunit ribosomal RNA
Source: RNAcentral
GACGAACGCUGGCGGCGUGCUUAACACAUGCAAGUCGAACGACGUGGCGAACGGGUGAGUAACGCGUAAUCAACCCGCCCUUCAGUGGGGGACAACAGUUGGAAACGACCGCUAAUACCGCAUACUCACGGAGGGUUUUGCGUCUGAUGAGCUAGUUGGAGGGGUAACGGCCCAUCAAGGCGAUGAUCAGUAGCCGGUCUGAGAGGAUGAACGGCCACAUUGGGACUGAGACACGGCCCAGACUCCUACGGGAGGCAGCAGUGGGGAAUCGUCCGCAAUGGACGAAAGUCUGACGGAGCAACGCCGCGUGAGUGAUGACGGCCUUCGGGUUGUAAAGCUCUGUUAAUCGGGACGCGGUACCGGAAUAGAAAGCCACGGCUAACUACGUGCCAGCAGCCGCGGUAAUAC